This 484-nucleotide ribosomal RNA is filed under the name uncultured bacterium. Its description in RNAcentral is "partial 16S ribosomal RNA". It matches the Rfam family "Bacterial small subunit ribosomal RNA", at positions 30 to 507 of the family's 1533-position model. The record is from RNAcentral.
AUUGAACGCUGGCGGCAGGCCUAACACAUGCAAGUCGAGCGGAUGAAGGGUGCUUGCUCCUGGAUUCAGCGGCGGACGGGUGUGUAAUGCCUAGGAAUCUGCCUGGCUGUGGGUUAUAACGUCUUGAAACGGGCGCUAAUACCGCAGACGACCUGAUGGAGAAAGAGGGGGGUCUUUGGACCUUUCGCUCUCAGGGGAGCGUAGGCCGGAUUGGCUAGUUGGUGGGUUAAGGGGCUACCUAGGCGGCUAUUCGUAACUGGUCUGAGAGGAUGAUAAGCCACAUGGGAACUGGAACACGGACCAUAGUCCUACGGGAGGGAGCAGUGUGGAAUAUUGGACAAUGGGCGGAAGCAUGAUCCAGCCAGGCCGAGUGUGUGAAGAAGGCCUUCGGAUUGUAAAGAACUUUAAGUGGGGAGGAAGCGCAGUAGGUUAAUACCAAGCUGGUUUGACGGUACCAACAGAAUAAGCACCGGCUAACUUCGUG